RNAcentral lists this ribosomal RNA (253 nucleotides) under uncultured bacterium. RNAcentral's name for it is "partial 16S ribosomal RNA". It matches the Rfam family "Bacterial small subunit ribosomal RNA", at positions 524 to 776 of the family's 1533-position model. The record is from RNAcentral.
GACAGAGGGGGCAAGCGUUGCUCGGAAUCACUGGGCGUAAAGGGCGCGUAGGCGGGAUGGCAAGUCGGUCGUGAAAUCCUUCGGCCCAACCGAAGAACGUCGGCCGAUACUGCCGUUCUUGAGGGAUGCAGAGGAGACUGGAAUUCCCGGUGUGGCGGUGAAAUGUGUAGAGAUCGGGAGGAACACCGGUGGCGAAGGCGACCUUCUGGACAGUGACUGACGCUGAGACGCGAAAGCGUGGGGAGCAAACAGG